Molecule: ribosomal RNA, 472 nt
Filed under: uncultured bacterium
Lineage: Bacteria
Description: bacterial SSU rRNA
Rfam family: Bacterial small subunit ribosomal RNA
Source: RNAcentral
UGGGGAAUUUUGGACAAUGGGCGAAAGCCUGAUCCAGCAAUGCCGCGUGAGUGAAGAAGGCCUUCGGGUUGUAAAGCUCUUUUGUCAGGGAAGAAACGGUGAGAGCUAAUAUCUCUUGCUAAUGACGGUACCUGAAGAAUAAGCACCGGCUAACUACGUGCCGGCAGCCGCGGUAAUACAGGGGGUGCAAGCGUUAAUCGGAAUUACUGGGCGUAAAGCGUGCGCAGGCGGUUUUGUAAGUCUGAUGUGAAAUCCCCGGGCUCAACCUGGGAAUUGCAUUGGAGACUGCAAGGCUAGAAUCUGGCAGAGGGGGGUAGAAUUCCACGUGUAGCAGUGAAAUGCGUAGAUAUGUGGAGGAACACCGAUGGCGAAGGCAGCCCCCUGGGUCAAGAUUGACGCUCAUGCACGAAAGCGUGGGGAGCAAACAGGAUUAGAUACCCUUGUAGUCCCUGAGCGGGCUGGCAAGGCGCAU